ACUGAUUUCUUCAGCAAAGUACAAAAGUUAUAAAUAAAUUCACAGAAAUUAAUAGUAUUUCCAUAUAAUGACAAGAUUCAGAAGGGAAAUGCAGAAGAAAAAAAGUUUCAUUUAAAAUAACUACAAAAUACUAUAUAUAAAAGUCAAUAUAACAAAGAAUGCUUAGUACUUGCACAAAUACAAUUAUUACUUUAAGGAGUGCUUGUAAAGAAUUUAAGUAAUAAUACUGAACAAUUAUCUGCAUGAAAAAAACAGCUCAAUGACUUUAUUUUUUCUUUUUUCAACACAAUCACAUCUUUCCCAUCUAAAUCCCCUCCAGAUGGGAAUAUGUGAAAACUGGGACACUAAUACAUUGUUGGUGGAGUUGUGAACUAAUCCAAUCAUUCUGGACAGCAAUUUGGAACUAUGCCCAAAGGACUAUCAAAGGGUGCAUACCCUUUGAUCUAGCAGUGUUUCUACUGGGCUUAUAUCCCAAAGAUAUUUUACAGGAGGCAAAGGGACCCACAUGUGCAAAAAUGUUUGUGGCAGCCCUCUUUGUAGUGGCAAGAAACUAGAAACUGAAUGGAUGCCCAUCAAUUAGGGAAUAGAUGAAUAUGUUAUGGUAUAUGAAUGUUAUAGAAUAUUAUUAUCCUAUAAGAAAUUAUGAGCAGGAUGAUUUUAGAGAGGCCUGGAGAGACUUGUAUGAACUGAUGCUAAGUGAAUUGAGUAGAACCAAGAGAACAUUGUACACAGCAACAAUAAGAUUAUAUAAUGACCAAUUCUGAAGGAUGUGGCUCUUUUCAACAAUGAGGUGAUUGAGGUUAGUUCCAAUGGUCUUGUGAUAAAGAGAGUUAUCUGCACCAGAAAGAACUGUGGGAACUAAGUGUGGAUCACAAUAUAACAUUCUCACACUUUUUUUUGGUUUGCAUUUUGUUUUUUCUCAUUUUUUCCCUUUGUGAUCUGAUUUUUCUUACGUAGCAAGAUAAUUAUAUAGCUAUGUGUAUAUAUAUAUAUUGGAUUUAACAUAUUUUUAUCAUGUUUAAUAUAUACUGGAUUGCUUACCAUCUAGGGGAGGGGGUUAGAGAAUGGGGGGGUAGGAAUUUGGAACACAAGAUUUUGCAAGGGUCAAUGCUGAAAAAUUAUCCAUGCAUACGUUUUGAAAAUAAAAAGCUUUAAUUUAAAAGAAAUGUUUUUUAAAAAAUACAUCCCCUCCAAGGUUAGGGGGAAAACCCAACUUGUAACAAUCAUAGUAAAGUAAAAAGUGAUCCACUCACUGAACAUUUUAAAAAAUGUAUGUUUUUAUCUAUAACUUGAGUCUAUCACAUUUCUUGAUAAGAAAUGGCUAAAAGAAUUAUUCUGAAGUAGACCCAGUUAGCAUGGUUUUGUGAUUUUUUGCAGCUUCAUUGAGGAACGCAAAAAAGAGCCAAAAACAAUGGACAGUAGGAAAUUUAACAAAGGAAGAGUAGAAAGAGGGAAAUGGGACAAUGAAGUAGUAGAAGGCAAGGGCCUUAGGAUAGCAUCACAGCAGUUCAUCAACAGGCCAAGCUGGCACAGAAGCCAAUGAAGAAAAUGCUUGGGUGACGUCCUGGCAGAGGGACUGGAGGCAUGAUAUGUACCAAGAACAAAGUCUGUAGCUGAGAGAAGACAGAAAGUCCGGAUGGCAGUUGACUGGAUUCAGAGAAGGAAUUUCUGAACACAAAUGGAAACGUUUACAAGAGAAGACGAGAUCAAGGUUAUGGUCGUUUCUAAGAGGAGCUGAGGUGGGGACAGAGAAUCAGGUGAUGGGAAAAACCCAAAGAAAGGGUCCCUCAGAGGGGAGGGUGCUGGAGAGAGUAUCAAAGUAAGUGCAAGUCCCUGGUUAUGCGGGCAGAAGCUGAGGAGCAGAAAGACAAAAAAGCCAGGCUCUUCACUCAGUGAGCAUAGAGGAAGAAUGUUUGAGAAGCUGGUAUAAAGCAGCAAUUAGAAUCUUAAUUAGGGAGGAGGUGUGGAGUGGCAAGGCUCCUGAAUGAUGGUGGUAAAUAAAGGAUGGAAUAUAAGAGGCCACAGGAAGCGAGGGGAAUCUCAAAUCCCCCAACCACACACCAAAUGAGAAGCAGGGCGAGAAAGUACAACCAGCGCUGGAAAGGGCGGAUUGAUUAGCUGGGUCACUGGUUCUCAGUAAAAUGGAAGGAUUGGGAAAGGAAAAGGUUUAAGAUGAAAGCAAAUUUUAUCCCUAAAGAGCUGCCAGCGUUCCAAAAGUAGAGUGGAAGAAGUGGUCAGAUCUUCAGUGGAACAUUGGAGUAAUAGACAGAGUAAGGGAGGUGGAUAGGAAUAAGGUGAGUGGGUCCUAAAAUACCAAAAAUAGGGUUUCAGGGAAAAAGAAAUCACAGACAGAUAUCUGGCCCCAAAUCCAGAAAAGUAUAGGUCCAAGUAUGAAUUGUAUAUGAAACAUCUGUUUCCAUAGACCAAUAUAAAAAAUAUAAAUACAAACU
Long non-coding RNA from Antechinus flavipes (yellow-footed antechinus), 2450 nucleotides. RefSeq lists it as uncharacterized. The record is from RefSeq and is a predicted model, not a curated record. NCBI's taxonomy places the organism in Eukaryota, Metazoa, Chordata, Mammalia, Dasyuromorphia, Dasyuridae. The transcript has 2 exons.